GAUGAACGCUGGCGGCGUGCUUAACACAUGCAAGUCGAACGGAAAGGCUCCUGCUUGCAGGGGUACUCGAGUGGCGAACGGGUGAGUAACACGUGGGUGACCUGCCCUGCACUUCGGGAUAAGCCUGGGAAACUGGGUCUAAUACCGGAUAGGACGAUGGUUUGGAUGCCAUUGUGGAAAGUUUUUUCGGUGUGGGAUGAGCUCGCGGCCUAUCAGCUUGUUGGUGGGGUAAUGGCCUACCAAGGCGUCGACGGGUAGCCGGCCUGAGAGGGUGUACGGCCACAUUGGGACUGAGAUACGGCCCAGACUCCUACGGGAGGCAGCAGUGGGGAAUAUUGCACAAUGGGCGCAAGCCUGAUGCAGCGACGCCGCGUGGGGGAUGACGGCCUUCGGGUUGUAAACUCCUUUCGCUAGGGACGAAGCGCAAGUGACGGUACCUGGAGAAGAAGCACCGGCUAACUACGUG
Molecule: ribosomal RNA, 466 nt
Filed under: uncultured bacterium
Lineage: Bacteria
Description: partial 16S ribosomal RNA
Rfam family: Bacterial small subunit ribosomal RNA
Source: RNAcentral